This is a long non-coding RNA of Neoarius graeffei (lesser salmon catfish), 614 nucleotides long. RefSeq lists it as uncharacterized. NCBI's taxonomy places the organism in Eukaryota, Metazoa, Chordata, Actinopteri, Siluriformes, Ariidae. The record is from RefSeq and is a predicted model, not a curated record. The transcript is spliced from 3 exons.
UUCAUGAAUAUCUCCUUUGUGGUUCGGCCUUAGCAAUUUAAAACCAUUGUUGAAUAAUCCCUGGAAUGUAAGGGGUUAAAUAUUCGGUCAACAUGCAUAUCUGUUUUGUAUGGAGAAUGCUGGUGACCGAAAAUGUUUUUUCACUGUUGGUGGCACUUUUUGCACUGCUUGCUUGAGUGCGCAAGUUCCACUUCUUGCUACUGGGGAUCAGGGAAAUGUGCGAUUGGUUAGAUCAGGUAUGACGCAUCAUCAUCUGGCGCGAGGUUGAAGUGUACAGUCAGUGCUUAGUGCGUCGUGCAUCUCAUUCUUGGGCAGGAUUAUGUUGGCGACAGUCAGACACGAGCCUAUGCUCAGGCAGCGCACAAAGCAGCUUCUGAACCAUUGAAACGGUAAGUUCUGUUGAUUAUCCUUCAAUUAGCCUACAUGUAACCUCAGCACUGUUAAUAUAUUACUGUGGUAAAUUUUAAUUGGGGAUUUUUCGUCAAAAUUCAGGCGGACCAUCAACCAGAGGCGAACUAAGCAUAACGGCAUCCUAUUCAGCCAAACGGUUGAUGGAUGAUGGACAAUGACAGGUUUCAGAUCGAAUGUUGCCUGGACUACUGAUGACCAUUCCA